GAUGAACGCUGGCGGCGUGCUUAACACAUGCAAGUCGAACGGAAAGGCUCCUGCUUGCUGCGGUACUCGAGUGGCGAACGGGUGAGUAACACGUGGGCGAUCUGCUCUGCACUUUGGGAUAAGCCUGGGAAACUGGGUCUAAUACCGGAUAGGACCACAUUUUGGAUGGUGUGGUGGAAAGCUUGUCGGUGUGGGCUGAGCUAGCGGCCUAUCAGCUUGUUGGUGGGGUAAUGGCGUACCAAGGCGUCGACGGGGAGCCAGCCGGUGAGGAUGUACGGACACAUUAGAACUGAGAGGCAGGCCACACUCCGACAGGGUGCAGCAGGGGGGAAUAUUGCACAAUGGGCGAAAGCCUGAGGCAGCGACGCCGCGUGGGGGAUGACGGCCUUCGUGUUGUAAGCUCCUUUCGCUAGGGACGAAGCGUUUUUGUGACGGUACCUGAAGAAGAAGCACCGGCUAACUACGUG
This 467-nucleotide ribosomal RNA is filed under the name uncultured bacterium. RNAcentral's name for it is "partial 16S ribosomal RNA". It matches the Rfam family "Bacterial small subunit ribosomal RNA", at positions 28 to 507 of the family's 1533-position model. The record is from RNAcentral.